AGGAUAAACGCUGGCGGCGUGCCUAACACAUGCAAGUCGAACGCGCUUUCGGGCUUCGGUGCGAGAGCGAGUGGCGGACGGGUGAGUAACACAUGGGUACCUACCUUGGAGUGAGGGAUACCGGCGAGAAAUCGCCGACAAUACCGCAUAGGCUUCUUCACAAGGGAAGCAAAGUGACGCGAGUCACGCUUUGAGAUGGGCCUGUGGCCGAUUAGCUAGUUGGGGGGGUAACGGCUUCCCAAGGCGACGAUCGGUAGCUGGUCUGAGAGGACGAUCAGCCACACUGGGAUUGAGAACGGCCCAGACUCCUACGGGGGGCAGCAGUGAGGAAUUUUCCGCAAUGGAGGCAACUCUGACGGAGCAACGCCGCGUGCAGGAGGAAGGUUUUCGGAUCGUAAACUGCUUUUCUCGGGGACGAGCAAGGACGGUACCCGAGGAAGAAGCCCCGGCUAACUACGUGCCAGCAGCCGC
Molecule: ribosomal RNA, 471 nt
Filed under: uncultured bacterium
Lineage: Bacteria
Description: SSU rRNA
Rfam family: Bacterial small subunit ribosomal RNA
Source: RNAcentral